Molecule: long non-coding RNA, 1021 nt
Filed under: Phasianus colchicus (ring-necked pheasant)
Lineage: Eukaryota; Metazoa; Chordata; Aves; Galliformes; Phasianidae
Description: lncRNA (ENSPCLG00000017773.1)
Source: RNAcentral
AGUAGAUACCAAUAGGCACCAGCAAGUACCAGUGGGCACCAGUGAGUACCAGUGGGCACCAGUGAGUACCAAUGGGCACCAGUGGGUUCUAUGGGGUGCCAGUAGAUACCAAUAGGUACCAGCAAGUACCAGUGAGCACCAGUGAGUACCAAUGGGCACCAGGAGGUAUCAACACAUGCCAGUGAGUACGAGGGAGUGCCAGUGAGUACCAAUGAGUACCAGCAAGUACCAGUGGGCACCACUGAGUACCAAUAGGCACCAGGGGGUAUCAAGGGGUGCCAGUGAGUACCAAUGGGCAUUAAUGAAUACCAGUGGGUGCCAGUGAGUACCAAUGGGCACCAGUGGGUUCUAUGGGGUGCCAGCAGAUACCAAUGGGCACCAGUGGGCACCAGUGGGCACCAGUGGGCACCAGUAGGCACCAGUGGGUACCAGUGGGCACCAGUGGGUACCCCUGGCUCAGGUGAGCACCACCGAGUCCCAGUGUUGCCAACGGUGCCCGCGGUGCCCCACAGGGGUGCGCUCCGAGUUCGUGGUGAAGACGGCCAACGCCGGCGCCGGAGCGCUGUCGGUCACCAUCGACGGCCCCUCCAAGGUGACGUUGGACUGCGUGGAGUGCGCCGAGGGCCACCGCGUCACCUACACCCCCAUGGCGCCCGGCAACUACCUCAUCUCCAUCAAGUAUGGCGGCCCGCACCACAUCGUCGGCAGCCCCUUCAAGGCCAAGGUCACCGGCCCGCGGCUGUCGGGGGGUCACAGCCUGCACGAGACCUCCUCGGUGCUGGUGGAGACGGUGACCCGUGGGGCUCGGGGCCCCCCCGGCUUCGGGACCCUCCCCAAAUUCUCAUCGGAUGCCAGCAAGGUGGUGGCACGAGGGCCGGGGCUCAGCACCGCCUUCGUGGGGCAGAAGAACCACUUCACUGUCGACUGCAGCAAAGCGGGUGAGUGGGGGGCUGGGGGGGGCCGGGGGGUCUUUGGGGUCUGGGAUAAGUGGGGUCAGGGGGCUGGGAUCUGAGAUCUGGGA